Non-coding RNA from Meleagris gallopavo (turkey), 2977 nucleotides. The record is from RefSeq and is a predicted model, not a curated record. Lineage: Eukaryota; Metazoa; Chordata; Aves; Galliformes; Phasianidae.
ACAGAGGGUCUGGUUACAGGAGGGCAGUUUCUGAACAGAAGAACCCAAUCACCGAAAUCUCCCACUGGGAGGGGCUGCACACUCCCUAAUUGCCAGUUAGCACACUCGGGGAUAUUCUGGCUUCCAGAGAACCACUUUCAACUUCUGUUUUUUGGUGAGCUAUUUGCUGGAGGCAUUUGAUUUUUUACAACACACAGAACUCUUCUCUGACUUUUUUUCCCUACUUGUAGCACAGCCCGUCCUGCCUGCUGACAGGUACAAAACAACUGGAGGAGUGAAUGCAUCUGAGGAACUGGGAUGCCACAGCUACGAGGAUGAUUUCGGGAAGGGAAACCUGCUCUGCUGGUGAACCCCGUAGUUCUGAAUUAAUUGCAGUCAAAGCCAGAAAGGGAAUCUGAAAACAUCACUCAGACCUUGGGCUGACAGCCGGUAAGGAAAGCGUGGCAGAGCUGCUGCAGAUGGUGGGCAUGCUCUGUCCUCGGGCACUUGGCAGAAACUUGCUGCUAACAAAAGCAAAGGGCUCAGAUGUACACUCAGCACGGGAGGCUUGUGGCAAGCUCAGCCAUCACUGACAAAACGGGAAGAGCUUCACAAUAGUUGUUUUGCACUCCCCCACCCACAGCCUCUCUGGAGACCAGCCCUGAGACUUCAGCAUCAACCACAGAGGAAGUCUUUGCUUGCUGCUUUCAUACCUUUCACUGCCAGCUGUGGCUGUUUGCACCUGCUGCGCCUUCACUCGGCAGCCAAAGUUCCCAUCUAAAAAUACUAGGCCUGCUUUAGACAGCUUUAGAGCUAAUUUGGGGGGAUUUUUUGCCCUUUCCUCCUCUCCCUGCGUGUGCUAAGUCAAGUGACUGCAAGUAACCUCAAGUCCUGCACUGUACCUCGUUAGAAAGGGUGAUUGCAUUUAUUCUCAGUUAAAAGCCUUCCCCUCGUGAUGUGCUGGAUGCCUCUGCAAGCAACCUUCUCAGAAGCCAUUAGAAGACGGUGACAUUGCAACCAGGUCCUUCAGCCCACCCGCAGCUCUGCCAGCUCUACCUCCUCGUUCUCUCCAACAAGCAAAGCCAGGCCAAACUCACCAAGUCAUAGGUGUCUGAUGAGUAGCUGACAGGCCCCAUGGUGUCAGGAUCUGCCUCUCCUCCAGCAGGUCAGAAAAGUUCUUCUUUUUCGGGGUGGAGUUAGUCAUUUAAGUGAGCAGGGAGGGACCCAGCAAGUAACAAUACAGUAUUUGCAAGGCAAAUGAGCUCCAAGUGAAGGGUGACCUAUAUGUUGUAAAGAUUGGCCUCUCACUUUAUCACUUUUUCUUAACUGUUUCGAUUUUCACAGUGAUGCUUGAAAAAUCCACAUUCCUUUGGCCUGUAACAAGAAGAUCCAUGAGGUCCAUAAUUCCAUCCUACAAACCUCCAGGGUUCUUGGCUGCUACUGCCCUAGUCCAGGGCAAUCUGAAAGCUCUGUGCCCCACCGAAAUCUCACCAGGUCUGGAUGCCCUCUGGAGCUUUGUAAGACUUUGCAGACACCAUUAAUCACAUCUGCAUAACCUUUAUCCUCUGCUGGUGUCUUCCUGGCCUCAGCCUCAGGGACCUACAGCCGUUCUCCAUCUCCUCCUGCCACUUCAUCCCUUGCUGCACUCACACUGGAGUGCAGACCUUGCUGAUGGAAAGCUCUGCCUCAGUGGCUGCACUGCAGUUCUGGGGAAGGGCAGAGGCUUCUAACAAAUUGAGAAGUUAACUGAAAGUUUCUAAUCUGAGGAAGCAUGCUGGAGCCUCUGUUCGAGCAAGAAGCCCGGCAGGAGUCACACCAGUGAGAAAGGAGACACUACUCUGGCAAUCACUAUUGGAUUUUGUCUCUUUGUGGUUCUUAGCAGGAGGCAUCUCCCAGGCUGUGAGUCCAGCCCUUAGAAGUGGGCUGGGGAUGAACAGGUUUCAGGGAACACACUCUGAGGUCACAGGCAACAAUUUCCCUUGCAAGUACAUAUGCACUAUGUGAUUGCUACCACAGAUGAAGCACAGGAUCCGUGUGAUGCUGUCCUGUUAAAUGUAGGAAAAGUGACGGAGAGGAAAACAUGGACAAAAAAUAAGUUGAGAUAAAAUACAGUUAAAUUAAAAACAAUGCCGUUUUACGGGAUACUAGCAGGUAAGCGAUCCAUAAUUGAAUACAACUAUAAUUAAAUUCAACAAUAAAAUUUGAGGACUGUUUUGGUGCCUGUGCAUAGCAGCUCCUUGCUGAACUCUGACAUUCUGCUGCAAGUACAUACUCUAGCUGAUUGUAUAUUAUGACUAACAAAAAAUGUUAACUUGUGUAAGGUUUCCUGAUAGUAGGAAAUCAGCUGUACAAAAAGAUGACAAAAUGCAUUCCUUGAGGAUGAUCUACUCUAUAACUACCAAGCAUUUCAACUGACCAGUUUGACACUAUACUUUCUGAGCCAAAUCUGUCCUGACUCCUGGAUCGUCUCUCUGAUGUUUUCAGUCAUCUCAUUUGUUGUUAUCAUCACAAAUAGAGCUUUGCAAACCCAGUCAGAUUUACCCAUCUGUUAACUUCUGCUGUCAUUUGCUCUUUUAAGGUUGGUGCAUCAACCUAUUUCCUGCACCUCUCUGUGCAAAGCACGAUGCCUAGCUCUGCUGAGAGCUGAGAAAAAGCACCCAGGCAGCACAGAUGUAGCAGAGCAGAGACCUCUCCAGCAGUGAUUGCUGUGCCCAGCAGCCAGCCAGAAGCACGGCACAGUGCUUUGUUGGAGGUUGGACUCCGUUUGGAAUCACUCAGCCGCAUCCAGACUUUGCAAAGAAAAACAACCACAAAAGAAGCCAAUUCAUUCUCAUCUAUUCUGGAAAACAGAGCAGCAGCAUACGCUGUGUGUACGUUGGUUUCGAGGUAGAGAUAAGACAAUGAUCUAAAAUUGGUGGCAGAUGUGAGGAGCAAGGAGAAAAAUAAACACCAUGUGAGAAAAACAAAUGGAUUUCCCUUUUAUGGGGAAAAAAAGGGA